AUUGAACGCUGGCGGCAAGCCUAACACAUGCAAGUCGAACGAGUGGCGGACGGGUGAGUAAUGUCUGGGAAACUGCCUGAUGGAGGGGGAUAACUACUGGAAACGGUAGCUAAUACCGCAUACCAUCGGAUGUGCCCAGAUGGGAUUAGCUAGUAGGUGGGGUAAAGGCUAACCUAGGCCACGAUGCCUAGCUGGUCUGAGAAGGUGACCUGCCGCACUGGGACUGCGACACGGUCCAGACUCCUACGGGAGGCAGCAGUGGGAAAUAUUGGACAAUGGACGAAAGUCGGAUGCAGCCAUGCCGCGUGUAUGAAGAAGGCAUUCGGGUAGUAAAGUACUUUCAUUGGGGAAGCGUUACCUGUAGAAGAAGCACCGGCUAACUCCGUGCCAGCAGCCGCGGUAAUAC
Molecule: ribosomal RNA, 406 nt
Filed under: uncultured bacterium
Lineage: Bacteria
Description: partial 16S ribosomal RNA
Rfam family: Bacterial small subunit ribosomal RNA
Source: RNAcentral